CCUACGGGAGGCAGCAGUCGAGAAUCAUUCACAAUGGGGGAAACCCUGAUGGUGCGACGCCGCGUGGGGGAAUGAAGGUCUUCGGAUUGUAAACCCCUGUCAUGUGGGAGCAAAUUAAAAAGAUAGUACCACAAGAGGAAGAGACGGCUAACUCUGUGCCAGCAGCCGCGGUAAUACAGAGGUCUCAAGCGUUGUUCGGAAUCACUGGGCGUAAAGCGUGCGUAGGCUGUUUCGUAAGUCGUGUGUAAAAGGCGCGGGCUCAACCCGCGGACGGCACAUGAUACUGGGAGACUAGAGUAAGGGAGGGGGAACCGGAAUUCUCGGUGUAGCAGUGAAAUGCGUAGAUAUCGAGAGGAACACUCGUGGCGAAGGCGGGUUCCUGGACAUUAACUGACGCUGAGGCACGAAGGCCAGGGGAGCGAAAGGGAUUAGAUACCCCAGUAGUC
This 446-nucleotide ribosomal RNA is filed under the name uncultured bacterium. RNAcentral describes it as "partial 16S ribosomal RNA". It matches the Rfam family "Bacterial small subunit ribosomal RNA", at positions 338 to 795 of the family's 1533-position model. The record is from RNAcentral.